UACAGAGGGUGCAAGCGUUAAUCGGAAUUACUGGGCGUAAAGCGCGCGUAGGUGGUUCGUUAAGUUGGAUGUGAAAUCCCCGGGCUCAACCUGGGAACUACAUUCAAAACUGUCGAGCUAGAGUAUGGUAGAGGGUGGUGGAAUUUCCUGUGUAGCGGUGAAAUGCGUAGAUAUAGGAAGGAACACCAGUGGCGAAGGCGACCACCUGGACCGUAACUGACGCUGAGACACGAAAGCGUGGGUAGCAAACAGG
Molecule: ribosomal RNA, 253 nt
Filed under: uncultured bacterium
Lineage: Bacteria
Description: partial 16S ribosomal RNA
Rfam family: Bacterial small subunit ribosomal RNA
Source: RNAcentral